Molecule: long non-coding RNA, 348 nt
Filed under: Eucalyptus grandis
Lineage: Eukaryota; Viridiplantae; Streptophyta; Magnoliopsida; Myrtales; Myrtaceae
Description: long non-coding RNA (EGRA_LNC000604)
Source: RNAcentral
CUAAUGUUGAGACAUCAAUGUGCUAUUUAGGCUCAUAUAAGCUAAUAGGACCCUUAUAAUUUUGUGAGGACCGAAAUUUGCCAGGAUAAGGAUGGAAUCAAGCGAUAAUAUUAGAGACUAAUGGUUAAAUCAUGCAAAAGACUAGGACUAAGCAUGUAUGCAUGGGAAUGGCAUGCAACUACUCACUCUGCCUUUCUUCUUCCUUUGGCAUCUCCGCCCAAUCCCUUCAAUCAUUAUGGCCUUGGGAUUGAAAUUUUUUCAAUUAUGAGCCACCUAGGGACUCAUGAAGAUUUGAGCACCAAAAUGCCUAUUCUUUAUGUGUGAUAGAUUAUGGAAAAUGUUAUUGGU